UACGGAGGUCCCAAGCGUUGUUCGGAUUCACUGGGCGUAAAGGGUGCGUAGGCGGUGGGGUAAGUCGGAUGUGAAAGCUCGGAGCUCAACUCCGAAAUGGCAUUGGAAACUACCCUGCUAGAGGAUUGGAGGGGGGACUGGAAUACUUGGUGUAGCAGUGAAAUGCGUAGAUAUCAAGUGGAACACCAGUGGCGAAGGCGAGUCCCUGGACAAUUCCUGACACUGAGGCACGAAAGCUAGGGGAGCAAACAGG
This 253-nucleotide ribosomal RNA is filed under the name uncultured bacterium. RNAcentral describes it as "partial 16S ribosomal RNA". It matches the Rfam family "Bacterial small subunit ribosomal RNA", at positions 524 to 776 of the family's 1533-position model. The record is from RNAcentral.